This is a non-coding RNA of Peromyscus maniculatus bairdii (prairie deer mouse), 5748 nucleotides long. NCBI's taxonomy places the organism in Eukaryota, Metazoa, Chordata, Mammalia, Rodentia, Cricetidae. The record is from RefSeq and is a predicted model, not a curated record.
CAGGUAAUGAUCUUCUGGUCCAAGGGGUCAGGCAAGUCUCUUUCUGGUCCCCACCCUGGCUACGCCUGGCCAAGCCUGCCGGGCAGCACAGGCUGAGGUUGCCAUCCUGACUCCUGAUGCCAUCCCUGUCUUCUCCAGGCUGUGUGCUGGGGCACGACUGUCGUGACAAAUUCCUGCCUUUUGGCCCCAGUGAGUUAUUCUGAUCGGUCAACCCAUGGGUGAGUAAUGGAGUAUUGUAUUGUAUGGAGGGGUGCAUCAGCCAUCUGAGAGUACCAGAUCCCAUCUUGUCCCGUCCAAGGUUGCCCGCCCCCAGCCUAUGAAUCUGCUCCUAAUGCUGUUCCCCCACUCUCUUCCCUCCUCUUGGUGCCCCAGAUGGGUGGCCAAGCCCUCCUUUGUGAAGCCGUAAAUCUACACCUGCCUGAGGUCUGAGAAGGCCCACACGGCCUAGUUGAAUGCAAAUUUGGCCCUGGAGCCCAGAGCUCGGUGGAAGGAUGGGCAAGUGUGGUGUGGAGGGAAUGGAAGGGAAGGGAAAGGAAGUGAAGAGAAGGACUUCCGUGUCUCUUUACUCCAAAAACUGGGCCAGAAUUACCCAGGCCUUAGUUUCCCUCUGAACACAGGCAUGUUAGAGAAUACCAGUCCGCUCUCAGCACAGUAGACACAGUGUGAGGGGAAGGGCACUGGAGAACCUAGUGAGAGGGUUGGCAAGACUGUUCCAUGACUCGCUAGGCCUGCCACAUCCCCAGUGGUUCUGCCGACCCUGCAGUGGCCUCCGUGCCUAGACUGAGGACUUUCUAUCCCACUGCCCUUCUAGGCUGCCAGUGGCCUGAACCUCUUCCCCAAUGCCCGUGGAAGAGAGACCAGAGUUAUAGCUACUAGGGAACUGAGACCCCAGAGCUGCUGGGCUGAGACAUUCAACUUCCUCUUCCUGCCCCCAGGGGUUGGGGCCAUGAGGCCAUAUGGUGAGGGGGGAGGGAAGAGGCAGGCGAUAUCUGCUUAAGCUAAUGGCCUAGAAAAGCGAUGUCUCAGGUUGAGCAAACACCGAAGGCACUGGGGUGGGGAGAAAAAAACAACCUAGGGUAUGACUUGGAAACACCCCAAUUAGAAGUUAAUUUCCAGCCCUUCUGUUCCUGGAGGCCUGGGCUUGCUCCAGUCUUACUGUCCUCUAUUGACAAAUAUUCAUUGAGCGUCAUGAUUGCUGACCUGGCCUCAUUAUUGGCCUCCCCCAGGAUGGCUAGGGUCAGGUCUCUACUGACUAUCCAAGCUGCAUGGCCCCACAGUUGGAUAACCCUAAAUCCCUUGACACUAGCAUGAACACUGACCCUUAUGCCUCAAUCUGCACCCCAUCUCUAAGCCUGUGCAUGCUCAAUAGUGCCAUGUGGAGCUGCUGUCCUGAGCCCCGACUCUCUAGGCCCCUUUGUCUGUCUGAUGAGCCGGAUCCCUCUGUUUGCCCAAUCUUAGCCAUCUUAGGUCUUCACAGGUCCCCAUUCUGGCUCCAGGUUUUUCAUUCCUCCACCACCCACAGGCCCCCUGCUGUAAGUUCCCAGCUGCACCCACUUGUCAUGCAGUCCUAGGAUCUCCAUCAGCCCUAGACAGGUGCAGGGCCUAGCUUGAGGGGACACCCAUGAUUACAGACAAGCCACACACCAUUGACACCAACAGGCAACACACACAAGUUGGAUGGAUCCUUAAUGAAAGCAAGGUCCAGUUGGAAAUGGUGAGCAGAUGGACCACAGGGAAACUGCAGCCAGGUGAAGAAGCAACGUGCAAUGGCCAGGGUGGCCUGGGUUCUUCAUGCUGUGCUCGUAGUGUCUGCCCGUCCUCUGCCCCUCACAAGACCCCCUCAAGGGCCAGCCCAGCCCUAGACCCCCUCAGACAGAAAUCCAGCUCUGGCUAUUUGGCAUCUCUAUGGCCUACUUUCCAGUCAGGGGAAAGAUGGGGGCUCCAUGGCCACUUGUGUCUUGCCCUGCUUCUGGAUCCCAGCCUGUGGCCUAGACUUAGGAUGUCAUUGUCUCAGGCAUUUCCAGCCAGGGCCUUGGUGACACAGAAAUGAGACCACAUAUCCUGGAGCCCACCAGCCCACCAGCCCACCUUCCUGGCUCAACACAAACCAUCAAUCUCAUCCAGAGGGAUUUGCCCAAAGAUCUGCAGGUAAGGCCGGUAGAGCACACGGCGGAAAAUCCACUCCAGACGGCCGUCGUGGGGGUGCAGCAGGGCCUGAGUCGUCACACCGUAGGCCACAAGCCACACGCUCAGGAAAAAGAGGAAGAAGAAGACAUCCUUCAUCUGCAGGGGGAUGAGGGUCACAGUCACGGAUGGACUGGAUGGGAACUCACCUCAAGGAGUCAGAGGGACUCAUUUUCCUCCAUAUGGGAGUCCAGAGAGCUUACCCUCACCUAGGGCUGGAGUUCCUGGGUUCUCACCUCAGCCAAGGAAUAGGGUGUCAGGGUUCUCACCACCACCUUGGUUGGGGUUUCAGUACUUACCCCCAUCCAGGGUUGGAGGUCCCAGGAUUCUCACCACUACCAGGAUUGGGAUAUCACAGGGCUCAUCACCACUCAAGGUCAAGGUCCAAGGGGGCUCACCCCUAACAUAAGUUAGGGUUCCGGGGGCUCACCUCCACCCAGGGCUAGGGUCCUAUCUACCCAAACCUGGAGGUAUAGGGGUCACCCCUUUAGUUGGACACAGUGGUAGCUCACUCUCAUCCAGAGUUAAAGUCCAGGGCCCUUACCAUUCGAGUCAGUGUUCUUUUGGGCUCCUCAGCUAUCCAGAACUGGGGUCCCAGGGGACUCACCCUCAAUAGGUUUAGGGUCCCGAGGACUCACCAUCCACUGGGUCAAAAUGCCCCAUCUAUCCAAGGCUGGGGGCCCAGUGCCUCACCCCCCUCAAGGGUCAGGGUCCCACAGACCCACCAUCCGCUCUACAAUGAUGAUCUUAGGACCCAGCUGCUUGUGAAUGGCAAAGAUGUGGAUGAGCCGAAGUGUGAACACCAUGAAAUCAAUGGCCAGAACAGUGCGUCCAGCCUCAAACACCGAGGGCAGCAUCCUGGAGAGAGACAAAGGCUAGGUAGGGCUGUUGGUACCCACAGAGGGCCAGAGGCUUUCCCCAAGACACAAUAUGCUAGCUAAAUGGCCAAAAGGCAGGUUCCAGGACCAUGCUAGGAUUUCAGAGAGCUGAGUGGGUCCCCUAGGGCCUGCCCACCAGCCCAUCUGAGGCUACAGACCUACAGGUGACACCAACAAUGAACAGGAAGAUGGCCACCAUGUCACACUUGUUCCAGUUGUCCUCUACAUACAGAGUGAACUUCUUCACCAAGUGUGUGUCCUCAUCUGUAAAGAAGCCCUGACAGAGGGAGGAAGUCUGGUUAUGGCAGCCAGGUCCACCUUGCUGAGACCAGGGUAGAAUCUGCAUGUGUCAGGGCUCAGUUUGUCAAGCUGAUCAGAACUAAUUGGUGACUAGGACCCAGUGUAUGGCUAGGACUGGGAGUAUCAGUUGAAGAGAUUUCAGGACUAAGUCUGGGACAAAAAGUGAGGUCAAGCUGAAUCUGGAGUCAGGACUGUCUGUGACUAAAACUCAGGGUCAAUUUACAUUGCAUGUCUGGACUUAGCCAGUGACUCAGGUCAGGGUUCAGACUCUGACUAGGGAAUCAUGUUCAUGACCAAGCUGGAACAGGGACCGAAGCUCAGGAUGGAGCUGAAAUCAGCUCUGUUUGUGAUCGUGAUCAGGGCUCUGACUGUGACCAACAUCAAGACUCUGUGAUGACCCUUGAUCAAGAUAAGGGCUUGGUCUGGAGCUGGGAUUGGGGCUCAGUCUGUGACCAGGACCAUGAUGCAGUAGACUGGGUUGACAAGAAGGCCACACAGUGGUCUUGUUCUAUAGAAGAAAAGUUUUAGCCGUCCCCCCCUCCCAGAGCAGGCCCCACCUGGAGCUACAUCUAACAUAGCCUGAGUUGCAGAGCCCAGGAGUAGGCCAUGCUGUCCACUGACCUGUCGGAUUUCCUCCAGGACCAGUGUGAACACCCAGAAAUAGAGGGUAACCUCAGACCCAGAUGGCCCCUGGGGAGGUGGCUUGAAGUCUACCAGAAGGACAUAGGUGAACAGGAAGAGGAAUGCAAAGUACAUGACCACAUUCCCCAGGAACACAGUCACAGGAGCUCCCCAGAACUUCCUCCACCGUGUGAGCAGGAAGGCGGCCUGUGGGCCUAGAUCGCCUGGAGCCCUUGGUGUCUCUGUCAGCUUCUCCAAUCUGUGUGGGUAUGGAGGAGGUCACCAUGGUGAAGAGGCACCUAACCACGGUACCCGCAAGGGAGCAUGCCUCUGUCUACCUGUGUCUAGCCACUGGCCACUGCUGAGUGAUAGUCCUUACUCUCUCCAUCCUUCCCAGCCUCCUCCAUUCUUUUUAAACUUCAUGCUCCCCAGCCUCUAUCAUUCUGGGCCUCACUCUGUCCCUUCUAUAGUCCCCUCCGUUUUUCCUACCCUCUGUCUUUCUGGGCCCAUUCUGUCUUCCCCACUUUCCUUGCUCCUCCUAUCUUUCCUCACUCCAUCCUUCCUGGCCCCCUCUAUCCAUUUCAUCACCCUGCCACCCCUUACUGGCCGCCCUGGUUGCACAGAAAGCUCUUUUCCACAUCCAAGCUGUCCAGCUCCUGCAGAUCUUCCAGGUCCAUCCUCUGCGGGACAUCCUCACUGCAACACAGGGAAGGAUAUCCGAAGCACACAGAGAAGGAAGUACUAGGCCCACCGAGAAGAAGGAGGACUCACAUAGUCAACUGGACAUUGGGCUAUGAGAAGUGGGAACAGUGAGAGACUCUGGCACCUGCAUAAACCGACCUGAAGGUGAUGAGGGGAGCAGAAGGAGAGACCUUCAACCUUCGACUCACCCAGGGCCAGCUGUUCAUACUUGGCCUCACGCAUGGUCCGGGCCACCUCUGCUUCUUUCUCCAGGGUUUCACUGUGUAUCCCUUGCUGUCCUGGACCUCACUCUGUAGACCAGCCUGGCCUGGGACUCACAGAGAUCUGCCUGCCUCUGCUUCCCAAGUGCUGGGAUUAAAGGCAUGAGCUAUCAUCACCCUGCUCAAACAUUGUACCAAUUGAGCCACAUCCUCACCCCCAGGUGCCCCAGGUCCUCUUGGAGUGGCCCCUUACUCAGGUAUGCCCCACCCUUUCCCCAACACUGCCUCUCCCAGCUUCCAGCCUGUGUUCUAGGCCAGCCCCACUGCCCCAACAAGCCUGGGUUGAAAUCCAACAUCUCCAUCAGUGUCCAAGUGGACAGACCCACAGUAUAUCUGCACAGUAAAUGUUAGAACUCAGCCUUGGAAAGUCAGGACUUCCUGGCUCUGGCUGCCAUGGGGAUGGGUCUGUGGGACAUUGCGCUUCAUGAGGAAAACUGGGUACAAACAAUAUAUGUUGUAAUUCCGUUCAUAUACAGUGGCCCCAAAGCUCACAUCCAUAGACAAAAAGCAGGUAGAGGACCAGGACCUGGGGACAAGGUGAAGUUGCUAAGGCUUUUUGGGAGGGAGUAAUAGAAACAUUCCAGAAUGAGUGCUGGUUACAAUGCCCUGAGGCUAGAUUCUAAGCCUCUGAUAGAAAGGCCUCGAGAAUUUGUGAGUCAUCUUUCCUACCUGGGAAGGGCUGACAGGCAUCCACUGUGAACACCGCUGAAUCCUGCUGCCUCUGAGGGCAGGUCUACUUGGCUCACCUUUCACAAGUGCCUUGAGGAUGACAGUGUCCAGGUCCUCGGAACCCUCCUGCUCGA